RNAcentral lists this ribosomal RNA (380 nucleotides) under uncultured bacterium. RNAcentral describes it as "bacterial SSU rRNA". It matches the Rfam family "Bacterial small subunit ribosomal RNA", at positions 28 to 412 of the family's 1533-position model. The record is from RNAcentral.
GACGAACGCUGGCGGCGUGCUUAACACAUGCAAGUCGAACGGUAAGGCCCUUCGGGUACGACGAGUGGCGAACGGGUGAGUAACACGUGGGUGAUCUGCCCUGCACUUCGGGAUAAGCCUGGGAAACUGGGUCUAAUACCGGAUAGGACUCCUGGCUUCAUGGUUGGGGGUGUAAAGCUUUUGCGGUGUGGGAUGGGCCCGCGGCCUAUCAGCUUGUUGGUGGGGUAAUGGCCUACCAAGGCGACGACGGGUAGCCGGCCUGAGAGGGUGACCGGCCACACUGGGACUGAGAUACGGCCCAGACUCCUACGGGAGGCAGCAGUGGGGAAUAUUGCACAAUGGGCGCAAGCCUGAUGCAGCGACGCCGCGUGAGGGAUGAC